GACGAACGCUGGCGGCGUGCUUAACACAUGCAAGUCGAACGGAAAGGCCCUGCUUUUGUGGGGUGCUCGAGUGGCGAAAGGGUGAGUAACACGUGAGUAACCUUCCCUUGACUUUGGGAUAACUUCAGGAAACUGGGGCUAAUACCGGAUAGGAGCUCCUGCUUCAUGGUGGGGGUUGGAAAGUUUCGGCGGUUGGGGAUGGACUCGCGGCUUAUCAGCUUGUUGGUGGGGUAGUGGCUUACCAAGGCUUUGACGGGUAGCCGGCCUGAGAGGGUGACCGGCCACAUUGGGACUGAGAUACGGCCCAGACUCCUACGGGAGGCAGCAGUGGGGAAUAUUGCACAAUGGGCGGAAGCCUGAUGCAGCAACGCCGCGUGCGGGAUGACGGCCUUCGGGUUGUAAACCGCUUUCGCCUGUGACGAAGCGUGAGUGACGGUAAUGGGCAAAGAAGCACCGGCUAACUACGUG
RNAcentral lists this ribosomal RNA (468 nucleotides) under uncultured bacterium. RNAcentral describes it as "partial 16S ribosomal RNA". It matches the Rfam family "Bacterial small subunit ribosomal RNA", at positions 28 to 507 of the family's 1533-position model. The record is from RNAcentral.